Long non-coding RNA from Capsicum annuum, 129 nucleotides. RefSeq lists it as uncharacterized. The record is from RefSeq and is a predicted model, not a curated record. Lineage: Eukaryota; Viridiplantae; Streptophyta; Magnoliopsida; Solanales; Solanaceae. The transcript is spliced from 3 exons.
AAUUAAAUCUUGGGCCAAAUGGAGGAAUUCUUACUUCACUGAACUUGUUUGCCACAAAGUUUGAUGAGAUGAGAGACUUAGGUGAUGCAAGGAUCAUCACUAGAAUAACUGGUACUGUUAGCUGAGAAA